This 3075-nucleotide ribosomal RNA is filed under the name Triticum aestivum (bread wheat). RNAcentral's name for it is "partial small subunit ribosomal RNA". Lineage: Eukaryota; Viridiplantae; Streptophyta; Magnoliopsida; Poales; Poaceae. The record is from RNAcentral.
AUGCUGAUUACGCCCGAACUGCCCUCCUUUGACAUAAAAGAUUCCCGAGCCCCUCGACUGAAAUCCCGACUAAACUGCAAGUUUCCCUUCUUGAAAUUACUGCGUCUGAAGCUUCCAAUAUCGCCAACUUCGCCGGAGAACCGUGCGCCCGUGCUCGAGCAGAGUUUUGGCGGCCUUCUGUGUGAGGUAGACUUGACUGAUGAGGGCUUGAAAAGGGGCCUUGGUUGUCUGUCAACUGAAAACUCUGUUUGUGCACAACCUAUAUCCUCUAUGAGAAGGAACUGGAUGGAGCAAGGAGAUGACUGUCAACUCAUGCAAUGGUUAGAGCAAAGUAAGGUAUGCAAAGAAGUUGGAUUUGCGACAAUAUCACAUGAAUCCUUCUUCAGGUUAUUUCCAAAUGUCCAGUUUUAUGAGAGGAAGAUUAGCAUGGCGGCCAAGUUGAAGGUGCACUUCCACGCCGGCGGCCCGAGCUCGACGGCAAUCCGACGCAGGCAGCGUCCACCAACAGCUCCUCCUCCAAGGACGAGGUGGGCCACGCGCAAGAGACCUACGUGCAGAUUUGCUGUUUCAUGGCGAGGCUGGUCGUGGCAUGGAUGGAGUCGUUGCCAUCGUCGUCCUGUGAUGGCUCACUCGAAACAUGACAACACUGCAGCAACUACUAUGUCUAUUCUCGAUCUUGGAUUCGUGGGAUCCCAAUCCUUCAACCCAUUAGCUAUUUCCGGGCACAUCAGUGGAAUUGAGCAUCUCAAUGAAACUAAUUUUCCUUCCUGGAAGGAGCAUAUUCUGAAUGCCCUUGUGAUCAUGGACCUUGACGGUGCACUUAGAGAAAAAACUCCUAUUCCUCCGCCUUCUGAUGAUGAAAACCUUCUUGAGAAAAGUAAGGUUUAUGAGGCUAAUAAAGAGAAAUGGGAGCGCUCCAACUGCAUGGUUGUCAAGCUCAUGAAAAGCACAAUAACUCGUGGGACCAGGGGAGCAAUUCCGGACGCUGGCAUAGGAAUUGAGAUUUCCGAGGGCAUCUUGGUAGACUUCAUUGUGAAUUCCCUUCAUAUGGAGUAUGGUCCAUUUAGGAUCAAUUAUAUCACUCGAAAGGAUAAGUGGACCAUGACUGAGCUCAUAGCUAUGUGCGUUCAAGAAGAAGAACAUCUCAUGGGCAUGGUAUGGACUAAUGAUGUUAACCAUUCAAUCAAGUGGGAGAAUGUUAGAAUUAAUAGAUGCGAGAUGGGGACCGAGGGAGGAAGGAAGGACGCGCGAAGGAGUAGGCGUUGUCCACUCCAGCCGACGGAGGCAACCCUAGCCUUUCACCUUCCAUGUCUCAGAUGCAGCUCGGGGGAAAAUGAAUCACUAGGCCGCAGACGCGAGGAGGACGAAGCAGCGCAGCGUCGGCGGCUUGCGGCUGACCGUGCCCUGCCACCCCCGUCCGCCCCCAUUGUCACUCUGCCCCAUCUUGCAUUCUCGGCGGCGGCGACGGAGCCCUCGUUCUCAUCGGGCGCCCGUUCCCUUCGUCCUCAGAAAAUGGCAAAAUUAGUUGAUGGUAGCAUACAGAACAUUGAAAGAGACACAAUUGUUAAAUGGGAGGUUGAGUUUACAGAGAUUGAUCCACAAGUUCUACAGAACAUGGGAGAGAAGGCAGUGAAGAAAUGGGUGGAAAAAAUUGGGGAGAAUAUUGUUUGGGGUCCAGAGCAAGAAGUAUCACUGUUGCGGUUUGAUGAUUGGAAAGGAGAAUAUGUGAGAAUAGAAGAUGGUGAACAGACUGUUGAAGGAAUCGAUCGGCAAAACGGCUGGACAAGCAAACGGGCUAAUUGUUUUGCUGAGCUCAUUGAUCUGAAUAUUUUUUUCGAAGGUUGGAUAUGUGUCAUCACACUUGGCUAUGCAGAUGUUGAAUUAGACGAGCCUACUGAUUUGGUCAUUGCACCAAUGCCUGACAUUGAGAUGGCCAAACUUUUUGGCAUUCCAGUCGAUGACAGAGAUAAGCAGGAGAUGAGCGAAUCUAGUUUGCCUACUAAUGCUGAUGAAGAUGUAGAUGGACAGUUGAUGGAACAAGCUGCAGAUGAAGUAGAUGAUGCACAUGAUGAUGAGCUGGUGCAUGUGUAUGACAAAGAAAACCCUGUCGUUGAAGUGGGGAAGCUGCGGCCAAGUAUGAAUGAAUUUAGAAUGUGUUUGAAGACUUAUGCAGUGAAACAUGAGUUUGAUGCCAAGACUGUUUGGAUUGAUAGAAAGAAGUUUUAUGCGAGGUGCAGAGGAUUUGAUGGUAGUGUCAAGCCUUGCAAGUGUGGGGUUUGGAUCAACGUCUCUCGUUGGGGCAUUAGGACCGUUCAUUUGAAUCCAACGGCACGAGUUGACACGGUGCAUGGACCAAGCCUACGCAGUGCCCUUUCCAUUGUUGCAUGCGUGCCUACCCGCAGCGCCGGCGCCCGUUGCAGCAUGCAUGCCCACCCGCAGCACUGCGCCCUGCAUGGCAUGCUCCUCCUUGAACGACACAAUACUGGCAUGAUGGGUAUCGAUGCAGUUCAAAUGGCGUGCUGCUUGUUACAAGAUGGGCAAAUUAAGGCGUCCAUUAUUCCGGGCACUAUCGUCUUCCUCUCCCUCCUCAUUCAUACCCCAUCCUCUUCCUCCUCUGCCCUCCUUCUUCCUUCUUCUCCAUCAAACCCGAUCGAGCCCUCGAGCCACCAUGCAGUACAACGCCCCCACCUACCGCUUCCCCCCAACCGUGCCGGAAAGGCUCUACCCGGCCGGAGUCUACGUAGAGAGAACCCUAAGGGUGUGGGUGAUCUCAAGGUGGAGGGGCGCAAGGGAGUUAACGGGGUUCUUCCUUGCGGCCGGCUUCCGCCAGCUCCCCCCGGCUCUCCAAGGAUGUACCAUGUUGAGGAGGUCAACCACAAUGGCGUUGUGGUUGGGCUCCUCGCUACGUUCACUAACCCCUUCGAUGCUUUCCACCUCCUCGGGCGAGUGUAUUGGGUUGGUUGUGAGUUCAUAGCUUUCACCACCCAUAACAUCUUCACCGACUUCAACAACAUCUUCCCCAACAACGGUGUUAUGCACACGCUCCCGUACCCCAUCAACAACGGGGAGGAGUGA